This 950-nucleotide long non-coding RNA is filed under the name Struthio camelus australis. RNAcentral's name for it is "lncRNA (ENSSCUG00000008618.1)". The record is from RNAcentral. Lineage: Eukaryota; Metazoa; Chordata; Aves; Struthioniformes; Struthionidae.
CUUUGCCAGACUUUGUUUGGACUUGAAUAUAAAUGCCUCAGGCUGAUCUAUAAAGAUAAAAAGAAAUGAAUAUCCCCCUGAAAAUGUCAUCCUGAAAGACUUGGCCCUUUUUUCUGAAGAAAAUGCCCUGUUUUUUGUCUAUGUAACAAAAUCUGUUACUGUUUCCUUGAACAGCUUCGGCGCUCUGUGCCUGGAGGAAGGGACAUGAAAUCUGGCAGGGUGUGUCAGGAAUGUGCCUGUCGCUACUUCCACAAAACGCUCAGUUUGCCCAAGCUUUCAGCAUUUGGAAAAUGGCAAUUUGCACGCGCCAAGCAAUUAUAUUUUGAACUUUCUUUUUAAGUCAGCACCACUCAGAUUUAGCUAGCAUGCUUCUGGCAUCGAGCAGACUGCAGAAAUGCCAGCACCACAGCGUGACGGCGCGUGCGUCCCCCGUCCAGGAUGGCAAGGCCAAAAGGACUUCCCAGUUUUAGCCUCCUCUGUGAAGGUGGCACCCCGGCAAGGAGGAAAGCGAAGAGGGAGGCCAAGUGAUGGUGAUACACAGCACCCCUAAUCAAACAGUGUACACAAGGUUCUUCUCUAGGAAGAGAUCAGAAGUGUAAGACAAGGAAUCUGCUCUCCCAGAUCCCUGCCUCAGUUGCGGAGGAAUUUAGGUGUGCAGUGAGCAAAACCGAGAACAUCAGAAACAGCAAGGAUGAUCUCACGGUUGAGGUGCCUACAGCGUGGUCAUUGUUGAGGUAUUUGAACAUUUCCUUGCAGAAUGGGAUUCGGUCCCUGCCUCUGCCAGAGGGCUGGUACCUGAUGUUAGGCCUGACUUUGACACUCACGGAUACUGUCGGGGCAGCUGGGCUUUACAUCCAGGUUGUUAAGUAAGUUAAAAAUUCAGGCUGCAGGUGUCUCAGGUGAGUGCUUCUUACUGAUGGAUAGUUUUCGACCUUAGUUUGAGCCAUAGU